UCCCUGGCGGCUCAGAUGGUAAAGCAUCUGCCUACAAUGCAGGAGACUUGGGUUCAAUCCCUAGGUUGGGAA
This 72-nucleotide transfer RNA is filed under the name Bos taurus (domestic cattle). It matches the Rfam family "tRNA". From Rfam's summary of the family: Transfer RNA (tRNA) molecules are approximately 80 nucleotides in length. Their secondary structure includes four short double-helical elements and three loops (D, anti-codon, and T loops). Lineage: Eukaryota; Metazoa; Chordata; Mammalia; Artiodactyla; Bovidae. RNAcentral also lists the same sequence under 4 other names. The record is from Rfam by way of RNAcentral.